UUGCGACACCGGUUGCAAUGCCACGUUAUUAGAGAUGCAGCAACAAAUGAGGUUGAAACUGAGGAUCCUAUACUCGUUCUAAAUGAGGUUACUAUUGACCGUGGAAUAUCGUCUUUCCUCACAAAUUUGGAAUGCUAUUGUGACAACUCAUUUGUCACAUGUGUGCAAGGUGAUGGUUUAAUUUUAUCAACAACAUCUGGUAGCACUGCAUAUUCAUUGGCAGCUGGAGGAUCAAUGGUCCAUCCACAGGUUCCUGGCAUCCUUUUUACACCAAUUUGUCCACAUUCCUUAUCCUUUCGGCCUCUGAUAUUACCUGAACAUGUAACCAUACGAGUGCAAGUUCCUUUCAACAGCAGAAGCUCUGCUUGGGUAUCAUUUGAUGGCAAGGACAGGAAAAAGUUAACACCGGGUGAUGCACUUGUAUGCAGCAUGGCGCCUUGGCCUGUGCCUACAGCAUGCCAAGUUGAUUCUACCAAUGACUUCUUGCACAGCAUCCAUGAGGGCCUACACUGGAAUCUGAGGAAGACCCAAUCUUUUGAUGGCCCUCUUGACCAAUAAUGUUAAGCUUAUCUUAUCUCUGAUGAAAGCAAGCAAAUCUAGCUGUUGUUUGAGAUUUACCUUUUUAAGCAUCCUAGAAGGAGGGGAAAUAUAUGUAGUUCCAAUUUCCAAAAGCAAACUUACCAAUUAUUAUCUGCAGAUUGUCAUGAAAAUCAGAGGAUAUGGAAAAGGAAGUGUAUGUUGUAAGACCAAAUUGCCUCUGAAAUGUGUAGAACUUGGCGUGGCUGUUAAACGAAUAGAUACAAGAGAAGGUACUUGUUGACUGUUUAGGUUAUACGUGGUGCCUCUUGCUAGCA
RNAcentral lists this unclassified non-coding RNA (854 nucleotides) under Hevea brasiliensis (rubber tree). The record is from RNAcentral. Lineage: Eukaryota; Viridiplantae; Streptophyta; Magnoliopsida; Malpighiales; Euphorbiaceae.